CUGUGGUUCCCAGACUUCAGUCAGUGCUCAAAAUGGAUUUGGGGCUGAGCUGGAUUUUCUUUGUAGCUCUACUAAAAGGUGUCCAGUGUGAGGUGAAGCUUGUGGAGACUGGAGGUGGACUGGUGCAGCCUGGGGGGUCACUAAGACUCUCCUGUGCAGCCUCUGGUUUCACUUUUAGUGACUACUGGAUGGACCGGUUCAGACAGACUCCUGAAAAGGCCUUGGAGUGGAUUGGAGAAAUUAAACCUGAUGGCAGUAAGACAAACUAUGCACCAUCCAUGAAGGAUCGAUUCACCAUCACCAGAGACAAUGCCAAGAACACUCUCUACCUGCAGAUGAACAGUGUGCGAUCUGAGGACACUGCCACUUAUUAUUGUGCUAUACACAGUGAAGGAACUUCAUUGUGA
Non-coding RNA from Chionomys nivalis (European snow vole), 407 nucleotides. The record is from the annotation of a RefSeq genome assembly. NCBI's taxonomy places the organism in Eukaryota, Metazoa, Chordata, Mammalia, Rodentia, Cricetidae.